RNAcentral lists this ribosomal RNA (402 nucleotides) under uncultured bacterium. RNAcentral's name for it is "bacterial SSU rRNA". It matches the Rfam family "Bacterial small subunit ribosomal RNA", at positions 356 to 773 of the family's 1533-position model. The record is from RNAcentral.
GGGGAAUCUUGCACAAUGGGGGAAACCCUGAUGCAGCGACGCCGCGUGAGCGAUGAAGCCCUUCGGGGUGUAAAGCUCUUUCGGUGGGGAAGAAAGAAGACGGUACCCACAGAAGCAGCUGCGGCUAACUACGUGCCAGCAGCCGCGGUAAUACGUAGGCAGCGAGCGUUGUUCGGAGUUACUGGGCGUAAAGGGUGUGUAGGCGGUCUUCCGUGUCUGGUGUGAAAUCUCCCGGCUCAACUGGGAGGGUGCGCCGGAAACUGGGAGGCUUGGAGUGCGGGAUGGGAGAGUGGAAUUCCUGGUGUAGCGGUGAAAUGCGUAGAUAUCAGGAGGAACACCGGUGGUGUAGACGGCUCUCUGGACCGUAACUGACGCUGAGACACGAAAGCGUGGGUAGCAAAC